Molecule: ribosomal RNA, 460 nt
Filed under: uncultured bacterium
Lineage: Bacteria
Description: partial 16S ribosomal RNA
Rfam family: Bacterial small subunit ribosomal RNA
Source: RNAcentral
CCUACGGGCGGCAGCAGUGAGGAAUAUUGGUCAAUGGGCGCGAGCCUGAACCAGCCAAGUAGCGUGAAGGAUGACUGCCCUAUGGGUUGUAAACUUCUUUUAUAAAGGAAUAAAGUGAGGCACGUGUGCCUUUUUGUAUGUACUUUAUGAAUAAGGAUCGGCUAACUCCGUGCCAGCAGCCGCGGUAAUACGGAGGAUCCGAGCGUUAUCCGGAUUUAUUGGGUUUAAAGGGAGCGUAGAUGGGUUGUUAAGUCAGUUGUGAAAGUUUGCGGCUCAACCGUAAAAUUGCAGUUGAUACUGGCAGGCUUGAGUACAGUAGAGGUAGGCGGAAUUCGUGGUGUAGCGGUGAAAUGCUUAGAUAUCACGAAGAACUCCGAUUGCGAAGGCAGCUUACUAAACUGCCACUGACACUGAGGCUCGAAAGUGUGGGUAUCAAACAGGAUUAGAUACCCUGGUAGUC